This is a long non-coding RNA of Astatotilapia calliptera (eastern happy), 4337 nucleotides long. The record is from Ensembl. Lineage: Eukaryota; Metazoa; Chordata; Actinopteri; Cichliformes; Cichlidae.
CCCUAAUGACCUAACCUUACCUAAAUAAAAUGUGAACAUACUAUAUACCUAAAAUGUAGAACAACAACUACAGACCUCAUAAAUAGCCAUGUGUAAACCCUUACAGGGAAUUAUUAAUUCUAUCAUGAAUACACGACAAACUGCAGAAAUAAAAGGUGAACUCUGUUGUGUUUAUACCCAGUUAAUUACAACAUAUUACAUUGAUAUUCCUGUUAAAACUUAUGAGGCACAGUACUUGCAGAAGGCAGCACUUACUUGUGUUGCCUUUGAGUCCUGAAUGAAUGCUUGUUUAGCACAUUUUCAGUAUAAACUGGCUGCUACUUCUGUGUUGACCUGCUUGGUUUGUUUGGCCAGGGGAAUUCUGGGCAAACGAGUUCAGACGGCGAGGGGUGACGUGGGGACGCAGUAACAGCUGUGUUUGCUAGGACAAGGCAGAGACAUGUGUUUGGUUUCUCCUCUGUGUACCUCCCAAGAGCUCCACAAUGCUGAAGUUUGGCCACUUGAAUAAAAUGCACAUCCAAAUUAGGGCAAUCCACAUAGUACACACAAAAAUACAAAGAGAAAGACUUGCGAUUGAGUAAAAAAAAAUGAAAAGUUGAAAGUUGAGUGAGAAGCAACACGACUGGCUGUUGGCCACUGUGAUGCAGGCAAUCCUUGAAAUCCCCUGCUUACACAGUAAGAACCAAAACUGCCACAUAGGCUCAUAAUUUGGGUUUUUCCACUGUGAAGAAGGACACAGAAGCACAGGUCUAAUCGUCCACGUGUUCUUUGUUGAGUAAUGUCUUCCAUGGUGUGCAUUAGUUUCCAGUAAUCAGUGUAUCAUGUACAUGUACUUAUAUCUUGGUUUAAGAAUCUGGUAAUUGACAGGUGACGUCUUGAAAGUCAGAUGUGAGACAUCGAGAAUUAAAAAUUUUAUGGUUAUGUACCGACUCAAGAACAGCUGUGUUCUCGGGAAGAAAGCACAGCCAUGUUUUGGUUUUCUUGUCUUCAUACCAGAGCACUACAGCGAGAGAGAGAUAGAGAGACAGUGGGAGAGCACUAAAGUUGUGCAACAGACUUGCGCAUUUGUGAUGCAUUUAGUAACCCCUCGCAGGCUGGGUUUUUCAAGUGCAAAGAAGCAAGUGCAACAUGUGAAAAGAAUUAAUAAAACAAUUGCAAAGUGUGUGUGUGUGUGUGUGUGUGUGUGUGUGUGUGUGUGUGUGUGUGUGUGUGUGUGUGUGUGUGUGUGUGUGUGUGUGUGUGUGUGUGUGACUUACUACUGGGUCAUUGUGUCUCAGAUAAAUCAGACCUAACUGGCUUUUGCAAUUUAAUGUUUGUUUGUUUUUUUAUUACUGUGUGUGCUGAAAUGCUGGACUUUUAUUCAUCUUCAUUUCUUAACAAUCCAAUAGUCCGGCAAUUUUUGAUGCUUCUGUCCCAAACUACAGAUCCUGAUUAAUUUUGAUGGUAAGAACAACUGGUGAAGAUUUCAGGCUUUUAUCCUAAUAUUCUGUGAUAUAUUAAUGUUCAAACAUUGCUGCAAAAAGUGACAGUUUUUCAAAAAAAUAUAUCUUGAAAAGUAGUUGAUAUAUGAAGCUAAAAUUUCACAGCACGUAUUAUAUAUGUUCAAACACUGUGCUAUAAACAUUGUAACAAAAAUGGAGAUAGCUGAGCAGGAAGUGUUCUGAAAAUUGGUUGAUUUGAGAUGGAAUUACCCUGCUAGGAUCUAUUAGUGAGUCAUUCAUGUGUUAUUUAUGCGUCUAGACUUUAUGAUGCUUUAUAUGAUGCAAUUCACAUACAGGAUCCAGCAACUUCACGGCUUGUUUGCCUGCAUGAUGUCUGUUCUCCAUCUGUAUGCCUGAUGACUUUAAUCCUCUCUCUGUCAUAACUGACUUUCAAGACACCACUGCCAGUGACCAGAUUAGAAGCCUUCUUAAUCCAAGACAUAAAUUUACAUGAUACACUCAUUUGCUGGAGCUAAUGCACAUUCUGAAAGACAUUACAAUAAGUACUAAAAGACAGAUCUUCAGAAAUGCGUUCGUUUAUACAGUUAAAAUGUUGGGUAGUAAUAAAUUAAGGCAAAUGAUUAAAGUUUCUGUGAAAGUUUCUUUGCCUUCCUGUAGCAAAUAUCCUGCAAUAACCUUUAAAUCUAGUUCACCUCUGAUACCUCUUUCCCUAAACAAAUAUGCACAGUGUAAAACUUGAUUCCACGACCUGCCUCCUUUCAGUUUGAAGCCAGCCUGAGAUUUACCAAUGAUUUUUGGACACAUAACAAGGAAAAUAGCAGAAAAGCAAGACUUUAUAAACUGCAGCUCACUUCGUCUCAGUCUUCUCUAGCACUUUUUCUGAACUCAGAGCAACAUCUGGCUCAAACCUGGAACCACGUCUCUGACCUUUUAAAAGACAGCAGGUUUUCUAGCGAUAUAAAUAAUACAAAAUGAGGUCAACUCAAGAUUUAUCUGUUUGCACUACUUUUGUGAAAGUGUUAAUAUUUUAAGAUUCAGUAACCUGGUAAAUAUUAACAUUACAAAUGGGGAAAGUGCACUUUUUGGUACAUAAUGUACCACAUAAGGAAGAAAAGGACAUUUUGUCUUGUGUGGAAUUUCCACAAAACCAAGUGUUUUGUAAGAUGUAUGUUUCCAUGUGGCUCUCAAGCUGGGGACCAUCCAACAGCUUAAACUGUCAGAAGAGUCAUCAUCCGUGUCUUCUGUUCGAACACAUUUUAUUGUCGUGCGGUGAAAUCAUAUUUGUUUAACGACCGCUCUGCUUAGAUUGGGCGUAUAUUAUUAUUGCGUUUUCAUUUUGUUUUGAAUUCAGGCCAGUGUUUCGACUGACUUUCGGAACAAUUUGUUUUUAUAUUUUUUUGAAAAGGCAGUAGCGCCCGUGCUACAAAAGGGACUUCAAAAUAAAACAGAAGCAGCAUUGGUAGUCUUUUACUAUUCAAAUUAAGUCAUCUAAAAGCAUACAGCGUAAAAUUAUUAUAGUAUUUUAAGCAGAAAUUCAUAAUUAAGCACUGAGGAGGCAAAAAAGCAACCUGUUAUGAAACCGUUUUUAUUGUCUACUACUUUACAUAAUACACUUAGGAGAAAGGGUGGGUGGGGGUUGGACUGCGAUACAACACAUCUACAACUGCACAAGAGUUGCUAGCUGUAAAUAAAAGCUAUGUGCGUUUUCCUGGAAUUAAGUACAGCUGUGUGGCAAUGGAAAGGAAAAUGCACGAAGACGAUGAGAAACACUGAAUAACACAGACAAAGUGGGACAACGUGAGCAGAAAAACGUGUUUGUCAUCUGUGUCUCAAAUUAGCAUGUGUGUGGCUAAAAUGCUUGUUUUUUAUUAGUUUUCCACAGUUUUAACUAUUUAUCUCUGGUACAUUUAGUGCCAAGGGUUGAUAUAAUAACAACACAAAGCUAAAAACCUGUUUGCAGACAGUCUAGUUAGUAAAAGUGUGCAGAAAAUUAAGCACACAUGUUACUCAGAAACAGAGGUGUGCUAUAAAUUAGAAGUACCCAAAAGGUUUGUUUCCUUUUUCAAACUAGCAUCCAGCGUAAUGGUUACCUAAGAGGAUUUGAGAUUAAACAAGUUGAAAAAGAAAACUUUUUGAGCUCCCAGAUGACAUGACUCUUUUCUACCUUUAUAUUUGUCCAAGGCCAUUUUGGACAAUAGUUGAAAUCUGGAGAAAUCCUUUGGAAUUCGGAGCAAAAUAUAGUGCAAAAUAUAGUGACCAGUAUGCUCCAGCAGGAAGCAGCAUCCUACACAGCAAAUUCAAAAGUGUUAAAUUUUUUGGUGUUAAUAGUCUCCUUGCAAAAGUAGAGUUAAUUUUACUCUAAGCAGAGUCACAUUCUUUUAAUGUAACUCUGAGGUGUAAAAUGAUAGUAGUUAAAAUAGAGUGUUAAAAAUGAGUGUUUCUCUGUCAAAUCUGGAGGUGUUACAAUGGAAACAUUAACUCUUGACCUCUUAACUCUGAACUCCUACAGGGGCUAUGACACCAACAGAGUAAAUUCACAGACUCCGCCCUCAGCACCAUAGGCUCCAAUCGAAGCUGAAGUGAAGCCGUUUCAGAACAUUUUGCUCUACAUAUUUGAGUUGUUUGCCAUGCUUGGAUAUGCUUGUGAAGAUGGAAUAUGGGGGAGAGCAGAAGUGCGUUGAAGUUCCACAAAGGGAUGAAUGAAGGACAUGCAUAUUGUAUUAAAGAAAUAAGUCAUGAGAAUGCUGUUAUUUGCAUUUACCAUGUCAGACCUUUUGAUAAACAAAAUUCUAAUGAAAGUGAGAACAUGUAUACUGUUACAUCUUUCAGAAAAUGUUUUGAAAUUGGGGUGCACAGUUCAGAAUAAAUGUUUUUCAAAAACCAUUGCAUCUUUUU